This 438-nucleotide long non-coding RNA is filed under the name Olea europaea subsp. europaea. Lineage: Eukaryota; Viridiplantae; Streptophyta; Magnoliopsida; Lamiales; Oleaceae. The record is from RNAcentral.
AUAUGAUUUUCUAAGAUGAAGUGACGAUUUUUCCUGUCAGAGUCUUCACAAAAAUCUGCAUGCCUCCCCUCAACCUCAGCACCAAGUGCAGAGUUGGCUCCUUCUGAAUGUUAUAGUCUGCCAAUGUUCGGCCGUCCUCAAGCUGUUUGCCAGCAAAGAUCAGCCUCUGCUGGUCUGGUGGGAUUCCCUCCUUGUCCUGAAUUUUAGCUUUAACAUUAUCAAUGGUGUCGGAGCUGUCACCUUCAAGGAUUAUUGUCUUCCUAGUAAGGGUUUUGACAAAAAUCUGCAUGACACCACGAAGCCUCAACACCAAGAAGAGUGUUGACUCCUUCUGAAUGUUAUAGUCAGCGAAACUACGACCAUCCUCAAGUUGUUUACCAAUGAAAAUGAGCCGCUGUUGGUCUGGUGGGAUGCCUUCCUUGUCUUCUAUCUUGACUU